Molecule: ribosomal RNA, 615 nt
Filed under: uncultured bacterium
Lineage: Bacteria
Description: bacterial SSU rRNA
Rfam family: Bacterial small subunit ribosomal RNA
Source: RNAcentral
GUCGAGGGGCAUCAGGAAGAAGCUUGCUUUCUUUGCUGGCGACCGGCGCACGGGUGAGUAACACGUAUCCAAUCUGCCCUUUACUCGGGGAUAGCCUUUCGAAAGAAAGAUUAAUACCCGAUAGCAUAAUGAUUCCGCAUGGUUUCAUUAUUAAAGGAUUCCGGUAAAGGAUGGGGAUGCGUUCCAUUAGGUUGUUGGUGAGGUAACGGCUCACCAAGCCUUCGAUGGAUAGGGGUUCUGAGAGGAAGGUCCCCCACAUUGGAACUGAGACACGGUCCAAACUCCUACGGGAGGCAGCAGUGAGGAAUAUUGGUCAAUGGGCGCUAGCCUGAACCAGCCAAGUAGCGUGAAGGAUGAAGGCUCUAUGGGUCGUAAACUUCUUUUAUAUAAGAAUAAAGUGCAGUAUGUAUACUGUUUUGUAUGUAUUAUAUGAAUAAGGAUCGGCUAACUCCGUGCCAGCAGCCGCGGUAAUACGGAGGAUCCGAGCGUUAUCCGGAUUUAUUGGGUUUAAAGGGAGCGUAGGUGGACUGGUAAGUCAGUUGUGAAAGUUUGCGGCUCAACCGUAAAAUUGCAGUUGAUACUGUCAGUCUUGAGUACAGUAGAGGUGGGCGGAAU